Molecule: long non-coding RNA, 1978 nt
Organism: Bactrocera latifrons
Lineage: Eukaryota; Metazoa; Arthropoda; Insecta; Diptera; Tephritidae
Exons: 3
Source: RefSeq, a predicted model, not a curated record
AAUGCCCAAAAAUUAUUAUUUUGCCCAAUCUGGUCAUAAUGGAAAAUGUUAUAAAAAACGGUAAUCUAUUGCUAUUGGCAUUGAUAAAUCUUUAUGUGUGCAUUUGUUAUCACACCAAAAUCAUUUGCGAAAUGCCGUCGGGUAGAUAGGUUCGAGCCAAGAAUGAUAGAGAAAGAGAUUACGUAAUGCGCAUGUUUGCUUUCAGUCAGCUGUUUUUGCUGACGUCACGGUUGACUUAUUAUUCGUCCGCGCCUUUGAAUUUGAAUCUGAAUUGUAUUUUCGAGUGUAGUAUUAAUUGCGACCUUUUAUUUAUUUUAAAAUGCGUUGCGCAGUGUUCGGAUGCUAUAAUAACAAUGUUAAAAAUAUUGCUACGGAGUAGAGAUUUUUAAAUUCCCUAAAGAUAAAACAGUACUAAAACAAUGGAUUCAUUUUUGUCGUCGGGCGGACUAAAUUCAUGUUAAAAAUGAGUUCAUUUAUGAAGUACACUGUACUCCAGAAGCUUCCGAAAGCAACUUGCAGUUUAUAAUGGGUUUAAGUUCGAGGAAUCCGACGAAGUUACUACCUACCGCUUUUCCCACGUUAAGCACUGCUCCUGGAGAGGUUAGUGAACGACAGAAAAGGAUGUAGUCUCGUUUAAACCAGGACGUUUUAGAAAUUUUUUGGCGUCAUCAGGUUAAAAGGCGGUCUUCACAAUCACCCUGACAGGCAGGAAUUGAAAUAUAGGCUCCGUUCACAAUGAAGGAAAUGUUAAAGUCGACAACACAUCAGAUUUGGAAGGGAAUUACUUAUCUCUAAUCGGUAAUAUUUUUCAACGUGAUUUGGAGAUUCUCAACAACGACGGACUUGAGCAUUUGGCAGGGUAUAUCGGCAAUAAACUCGGUAAAGACAACCCCCAAAUUUGUGCCAAUUCACAAAAUUGUUCAUCUUAUACUUGGGUGGGUACCCUUUCUGAAGGAGAACUCUCAAAACCAACAGAUAUGUACAUACAUAUGUUGAUGGAGCAUAUGAGAGCCAUGCAAGCAGUAUUUGACGACACAGGUGUACUGAUUUGCAUAUACAUAUGUAUGUACAAAUUAUGUUCAAAAGCACUUAGAUUUAAGUAAGUUUGUAAACCGUUGCACGAAAGUAAAAAACUGUUUUUUUAGAGCUAGAGUGUAUUUUAGGAUUCGUUCCUUAACCCUUAAAUGCCCAAGGUCUCAGAUUUUCGUAAAAAAUGUAUAUGUUAUGUAAAAAUAUAUGUGGAACGUGGUUCCUUAGACGAUUUUUUGAAAAAAAUUACUUUCAGAGAAAUUAAGGCCCUUGGAUCGAUGUUUCCGGAUAGUGACCGCAUUGCUUCACUUGCACCCGAUAGUCUAUGGGACUUCAUUAAUUCGCUGGGGCUAAGUGAGUCAAUGUGAUUCAGGAGAGAACACAAUAGAAAAAAGGUCGGGGUGCAUUCCUCAUCUUUGAACCAAUCAAAUUUGCAAAUUUCCACUGGAAAUCCUAACUCUAUCUAUAAAAGGAUUUUAUAUGUUAACUUAAUUAAUACUUGAUAUAAAUUCGAAGCUUUGAAAAUGCAGCAGAGCAUUACUAAGCAAUGAGCAAAUAUUGUUUGCACUACGCAAGGAGAAGUAAGUAAGUUCGAGAGGGGUUUGAGGUUAAAUAACGGCUGACUUCAUUUAAUAUGGAUAGACAGGUCGAACAAUGUAAGGAUAAAACAAAGAAGAAUAUAGAAAUGGUAUACAGAGUUGCAAGGGGUACAUAGUUCUACUGUAACGACCGAUUCUGCAUUGUGAUACUUGUGACUUGUGACGAUUUUGUAAUUCUGUAAAUGACAGUCACAAAAAUCUAUUACAUUUCAUUAUUUAGAGAUGUAUUUAUACCUGAAUGAAAAUAAAUAUUUCGAUAACACAUAUCAAAUUUUCUAUGUCACAGUCAAAAACAAUAAUUACCAAUAAAAAUAAAAAUGUAUCUGGAUUGUUUCAGAAUAUUUACAAAA